UUCAAGAGAUGGGAAUCGAACCCAUGACCUUCCGCUUACCGGGCAGAUGCCAUGACCACUAGGCUACCCUGGA
Molecule: transfer RNA, 73 nt
Filed under: Cordylochernes scorpioides
Lineage: Eukaryota; Metazoa; Arthropoda; Arachnida; Pseudoscorpiones; Chernetidae
Description: tRNA-Thr
Source: RNAcentral